GCUAAUUCGGUGCGAGGAGCGGGGGUAAUCGGGGGGGGCCGAGCGUUAAUCGGAAUUACUGGGCGUAAAGCGGUCGCAGGCGGUUUGUUAAGCGAGAUGUGAAAGCCCUGGGCUCAACCUAGGAAUAGCAUUUCGAACUGGCGAACUAGAGUCUUGUAGAGGGGGGUAGAAUUCCAGGUGUAGCGGUGAAAUGCGUAGAGAUCUGGAGGAAUACCGGUGGCGAAGGCGGCCCCCUGGACAAAGACUGACGCUCAUGCACGAAAGCGUGGGGAGCAAACAGGAUUAGAUACCCCAGUAGUC
Molecule: ribosomal RNA, 300 nt
Filed under: uncultured Lactobacillus sp.
Lineage: Bacteria; Bacillati; Bacillota; Bacilli; Lactobacillales; Lactobacillaceae
Description: partial 16S ribosomal RNA
Rfam family: Bacterial small subunit ribosomal RNA
Source: RNAcentral